UUCCUGGCCUGUGACUAGCCAGACCAGGGAACAUCGCCCGGCAUUGUGCUCAAAUAAACCGCCUGGCCCUUUGUUGCUUCUUGUCACCUGCUUAUUUCGGCUAGAAUUUAUCUUACAUUUCGUGCCAAAAACCGGGAAGGGGCUUGAGCGCAGGGCCCCAAAUGGCCAUCAGCAGCCCUACCCCCUCCUUCCCCGACCCGGGACCUCAGCCUGCUCUCCUCCGCGUGGACUAUUUUCCGUCACUGUUUUAUUACUCCUAAACUAGUAAAGAACUAGAUUUCACCAGAACAAGUAUUAGUUACACAGGAAGUAAGUAAAAGCAGAAGAGGGACCCCAAAUUCCACCCCAUGACCUGGUAACCAUGACCUUUAAAGUCUUUAAUACCCGUGAUGAAGAAAAUGAGAAAAGGACAGUGUCUCAAACCCAACCCUUCACGGCGGCCCUGUGGCCGGCAGGACAGGGGUCUCAUCACACCAAAGACCAGUCUGGAGCUUGUGAGCCUCCAGGACGCUGCUUCCGGUGUGGCCAAGAAGACCACUGGGCAAAGAGAUGCCCCAGCCUGACCAAAAAGCUGACUAAACCCUGCGCAGUUGGCAGUAAGAGAAGUCAUUGGAAAGUAGAGUGCCCAGUUGGGGAAGGUCAUCCCCCCAUGACAGAGUCUCGUGGGAGGCAGGCCCCCCUGAGGGACUCCCCUCCAGACCUGCUGGGCCUACUCGAAAAAUGAAGAUGCCCAGACUCAAACACCUCUAUCACCCUUGCCGAGCUCAGGACCACGCUGUGGGUAGCAGGUAAGUCCAUCUCCUUUUUGGUGGACACAGAGGCUGCCUACUCUGUUUUACCUUCCUUUCAUGGGCGUUUACAUCCUCCCCAGGUCUCGGUCGAGGGUGUCACGGGAACCCCCUCUAAGCCUCUAGAGACAGGUCCGGUAGCCUACACGUUUGAGAGCCAUCUUCUUACCCACUCAUUUCUAGUCAUCCCGUACUGUCCCUUCCCUUUGUUAGGGAGAGAUCUACUCCCCAAGCUUGGUGCCUCUAUCUCCCUGCCUCUUAGUCAUCCCCAACUGAGCUCACUCAUCAUCUUAGCCAAUAUAAGUUGUAGCCCUGAGCCCUCCACUGACCCUCCUGUACAGUUGACCAGUGUUAACCCGAUAGUCUGAGACACCUCUACCCCUGUAGUGUCGAGCCAUCAUGCUCCAGUCCUCAUCCGCCUCAAAGACCCAUGCUCCUCUCCUUCUAGACCCCUAUUUCCUAUUUCCCAAGCCCAUUGCAAGAGCAUCCUACCUAUCAUUAACCAUCUUCUUUCUCAAAGGCUUCUGGUACCAACUAAUUCUCCCUGUAACACUCCAAUCCUUCCAGUCAAGAAGCCAUCGGGGGCCUACCAACUUGUUCAAGACCUGCAAAUAAUCAAUGAAGCUGCAGUCCCUCUUCACCUGGUCAUCCCUAACCCUUAUACUCUCUUAUCUCAAGUUCCCCCAAACACCUCUCUUACCUACCUUACUUCUCACUCCUAAGAAAGAUACCCCCUUGUUCUGCCCAAUGCUCAUCUUUCCAUUCUUUGAUCCAGGCUGCCUGCUACGAACAAGCCUCAGUCUGUCUCUCGUCCAGACUACAGUACUAGACGGGGGAAAGCCUGAGUGAUCAUGCUAGAUAUAUCUGUCCUGAGAGAUGAAGACAACAUAUCUGCUAGAAGCUCUGGCCACCGAUAGAGAGGUCAGACAGUAGAAGUGCACAAGACCAUGUGGGUACAUCAGUACUCACCCCUUCCCUCUGGCCUCCCACCAGCCUCAACCCUACCGACACCGCCCCUCCUCUGCCAGAAGUAGCCAGAUAGAGUCAGCAUCCUUUAUAACCAAAAGGCUGGAAUGUGAAGGCGGAGGCACCAGUGGGAGGGGGGAGUAUGUUGGACACUGAUGACGUGCCAAAGUCCCCAGCUGCUGCCCCCUUCCAACCUGAAAAAUGUGCCUUAUGCUAACCAAUCCUCACGCUGCUGCAAAUCUAAGCUCUGCCUCCCCCUACCUUCUUUUAAAAACUCACUGCCCGCCCUGCUGAGUGUGACUUCCCCAGCCUGUGACUUGCCAUACCGGGGAACCUCACCCGGGAUUGCGCUCAAAUAAACUGCCUGGCCCUU
Manis javanica (Malayan pangolin) is the source of this 2127-nucleotide non-coding RNA. The record is from RefSeq and is a predicted model, not a curated record. NCBI's taxonomy places the organism in Eukaryota, Metazoa, Chordata, Mammalia, Pholidota, Manidae.